Molecule: ribosomal RNA, 279 nt
Filed under: uncultured bacterium
Lineage: Bacteria
Description: partial 16S ribosomal RNA
Rfam family: Archaeal small subunit ribosomal RNA
Source: RNAcentral
AGCCAGCCGCCGCGGUAAUACCAGCACCUCAAGUGGUCAGGAUGAUUAUUGGGCCUAAAGCAUCCGUAGCCUGUUCUGUAAGUUUUCGGUUAAAUCUAUGCGCUCAACGUAUAGGCUGCCGAAAAUACUGCAGAACUAGGGAGUGGGAGAGGUAGACGGUACUCGGUAGGAAGGGGUAAAAUCCUUUGAUCUAUUGAUGACCACCUGUGGCGAAGGCGGUCUACCAGAACACGUUCGACGGUGAGGGAUGAAAGCUGGGGGAGCAAACCGGAUUAGAUA